ACGGCCAUACCAUGCUGAAUAUACCGGUUCUCGUUAGAUCACCGAAGUCAAGCAUCAUUGGGCGCGGUCAAGUGACCGCCUGGGAAACCGCGCGCCGUU
Non-coding RNA from Caerostris extrusa, 99 nucleotides. The record is from the annotation of a GenBank genome assembly. NCBI's taxonomy places the organism in Eukaryota, Metazoa, Arthropoda, Arachnida, Araneae, Araneidae.